This 73-nucleotide transfer RNA is filed under the name Algoriella xinjiangensis. RNAcentral's name for it is "tRNA-???(tt)". It matches the Rfam family "tRNA". From Rfam's summary of the family: Transfer RNA (tRNA) molecules are approximately 80 nucleotides in length. The record is from RNAcentral. Lineage: Bacteria; Pseudomonadati; Bacteroidota; Flavobacteriia; Flavobacteriales; Weeksellaceae.
UUCUCAAUAGCUCAGAGGUUAGAGCGGUCCUAUUUCUUGGAUGUGUCAUCGGUUCGAAUCCGAUUUGAGAAAC